Molecule: non-coding RNA, 48 nt
Filed under: Schistosoma curassoni
Lineage: Eukaryota; Metazoa; Platyhelminthes; Trematoda; Strigeidida; Schistosomatidae
Source: RNAcentral
AUCCAGCUGACGACGUGUCCCGAAUAGGACGAAACGCGCGUCCUGGAU